Long non-coding RNA from Oncorhynchus keta (chum salmon), 3592 nucleotides. RefSeq lists it as uncharacterized. The transcript has 3 exons. Lineage: Eukaryota; Metazoa; Chordata; Actinopteri; Salmoniformes; Salmonidae. The record is from RefSeq and is a predicted model, not a curated record.
AUAUUACAUGGAUUUAUUGUGAAGGUGUAGGCUAUAUUACAUGGAUUUAUUGUGGAGGUGUAGGCUAUAUUACAUGGAUUUAUUGUGGAGGUGUAGGCUAUAUUACAUGGAUUUAUUGUGGAGGUGUAGGCUAUAUUACAUGGAUUUAUUGUGGAGGUGUAGACUAUAUUACAUGGAUUUAUUGUGGAGGUGUAGGCUAUAUUACAUGGAUUUAUUGUGGAGGUGUAGACUAUAUUACAUGGAUUUAUUGUGGAGGUGUAGGCUAUAUUACAUGGAUUUAUUGUGGAGGUGUAGACUAUAUUACAUGGAUUUAUUGUGGAGGUGUAGACUAUAUUACAUGGAUUUAUUGUGGAGGUGUAGGCUAUAUUACAUGGAUUUAUUGUGGAGGUGUAGACUAUAUUACAUGGAUUUAUUGUGAAGGUGUAGGCUAUAUUACAUGGAUUUAUUGUGGAGGUGUAGGCUAUAUUACAUGGAUUUAUUGUGGAGGUGUAGGCUAUAUUACAUGGAUUUAUUGUGGAGGUGUAGACUAUAUUACAUGGAUUUAUUGUGAAGGUGUAGGCUAUAUUACAUGGAUUUAUUGUGGAGGUGUAGACUAUAUUACAUGGAUUUAUUGUGAAGGUGUAGACUAUAUUACAUGGAUUUAUUAGACUUUAUGUAGAUGUUCCAAAGGUCUGCAUCAGUGGCUUGUAUGUGUGGAAACCAGGAGAUGCUACGUGUGUUUAUGUUAAUUAACGGUCAAUUACCGUGAGAACAACAGUUCUUUUGUUUGACGAUCAACAGCUGACAAAAUUUCCUGACCGCCACAGCCCUAGUUGUGAUGCAAAAUGCAUAUGCAUAGAAUUAAAAAGGUAUUGUUGGAUAUUAUUUAUACUGAUUAGACAGUUUUUUUUACGUGGACGAUACAUUGAAGAUAAUAUAAGACAGGUAGUGGAAACAAUAGUAACACUAUGAAACAUCUGGGAAACCAGGCCUGGCAUUCAUAGCUGACUUUGAAAAGGCUUUUGAUAAAGUACAACUGGAAUUUAUAUAUAAAUGCCUGGAAUAUUUCAAUUUUGGAGAAUACAUUUUUUUAAAUGUAUUAAACGAGGCAUGUCAGUUAAGAACAAAUUCUUAUUGACAAUGACGGCCUACCGGGAACAGUGGGUUAACUGCCUUGUUCAGGUGCAGAACGACAGAUUUUUACCUUGUCAGCUCGCUCUAACCACUAGGCUACCUGCCCCCUACCUGGGUUAAAGUUAUAUAUAAUAACCCUAGGUGGUAAAUAGUAAACAAUGGCUACGUCUCAGAAAGUAUUCAAUUGUCAAGAAGAGUAAAACAAGGUUGUCCACUAUCGGCAUAUCUAUUUAUUAUGGCCAUUGAAAUGUUAGCUGUUAAAAUCAGAUCCAACAAUAAUAUCAAGGGGCUAGAAAUCCAGGGCUUAAAAACAAAGAUAUCAUUGUAUGUUGAUGAUUCAUGUUUUCUUUUAAAUCCACAAUUUGGAUCAUUCCACAGCCUUAUAGAGGAUCUAGACACUUUUUGUAACCUCUCUGGAUUACAACCAAAUUAUGAUACGUGUACUACAUUACAUAUUGGAUCAUUACAAAAUACAACUUUUACAUUACCAAUAAAAUUGUCCAUUUUAUUUGGAACAGCAAGCCAGACAAAAUUAAACGGGCCUAUUUAUAUAAUGAAUAUGAAUUCGGAGGGCAGAAAUGAUUAAAUAUUAAAGCAUUAGACCUCUCACUAAAGGCAUCAGUCAUACACCAGUUAUACUUCAAUCCAAACUGGUUCUCCAGCACAUUAGUAAGAAUGUCUCAUCCCAUGUUCAAGAAUGGCCUUUUUCCUUUUAUUCAGAUUACCGCCUCUCACUUUUGGUUAUUUGAAAAUGAAAUAAUCUCCAGAAUAUCGCUAUUUUUAAAAGAAGUCAUAGAAAUGUGUUUUCAUUUUCAGUUUAAUGCACCAGAGAAGACAGAACAAAUAAUAUGACAAAUAUGGUGGUUAAACUUAAAUAUACUAAUUGAUAAAGAAAAGUACAUUUUUUGUCAAUUAUAUCAUGAAUAGGACUGGUGGAGUUAUGUCACACAUGAAGCUAACACAAAUAUAUGGAAAUGUCUGCUCUACCCAAAAUGACAACCUACCAAUUGCAGCAUUACCACAAAAAUGGAAGAGGCAAGUGGAAGGUGAAAAAAGUAAGGAACUUGUCUGCCGGCCCUGCAUUAAAAUUGGUUAAAGAACAUUUUGAUGAAUAAAAAAGUAUACCAGUUUACUUUAAGGACCAAAAAAAUGACAGGUGUGCCAUACAGACUGCAAAAUAGAAGAGAUUUUUGAGGUACUAAUUCCAUAUGGUUUACGGACUGAUACUCAAAACGACACCGGAUUCAAAACUUAGAACUUCAGAAUGUUUUUCUUUAAAUUAAAAUUUGUGGUCCUUUGUGGUCCUUCUGUAGCUCAGUUGGUAGAGCAUGGCGCUUGUAACGCCAGGGUAGUGGGUUCGAUUCCCGGGACCACUCAUACGUAGAAUGUAUGCACACAUGACUGUAAGUCGCUUUGGAUAAAAGCGUCUGCUAAAUGGCAUAUAUAUAUAUAUAUAUUAUACCAAAUUUUUGCAACCAGUAUAAUGUUUUAUAUAUGGGGAUACAAACAUAACUGCUCUGCAGAUUUAGCUGCGAAGAGACAAAAUCAUUAGUUUUGGUACUGUCCAUAUGUAGCUUGUUUUUGGUUGCAGGUUCAGGAAUGACUGAAGAAUUGCAACAUUUACCUGCAGCUAACUCUAGAGAUAGCACUAUUGGGUGAUUUGAAAAGUCAUAGUCAACCGAUCAAUAAUAUAGUAAUACUUUUAGCAAAAAUGUUUAUCUUUAAUUUACAAUCUGUAGAAACUAUGAGAAUACAAAGGUUCAGAAAUUUUGUGAAACAUCACAGCACAGUUGAAAAAUAUAUGACAAAUAGAAAUCCAAUAUGGAUGGUGUUAAGAGAUAGAUGGGAGGGGUUGAGAGGAGCUGAAGUGUGGGACUAAUAACAAGAUAACCAAUGUAAAAUAUACUGUGUACUUAAAAUGUCUAUAGGUUCAGAACUUUUGUGAAACAGCACAGUUAAAAAGAUAUGGCAAAUAGAAAUCAAACUGGAUGGUCUUCAGAAACAGAUGGGAGGGGUUAAGGGUAGCGGAAGGAUAUGAGUAAAAACAAACAAAAGAUAACUAUUGUAAAAUAGAUUGUGUCCGUAAAAUGUAUAUAGUAUGUAUAAGCUGGAAAUAGAAGCCUAAUUGUUGUUGUACCUUAGUUUACUCCAAUUAGGGAAGGGGUGGUAUGGUUGGAGGAAAAUAAUAAAGGAUGUUUUUUUUAAAAGAUGUAUAUAAUAUGUGUAUGUAUGUAUAAACGUAUGUAUGUAUGUAUGUAUGUAUGUAUGUAUGUAUGUAUGUAUGUAUGUAUGUAUGUAUGUAUGUAUGUAUGUAUGUAUGUAUGUAUGUAUGUAUGUAUGUAUGUAUGUAUGUAUGUAUGCAUGUAUGUAUGCAUGUAUGUGUAUAUUCAGUACCAGUCAAAAGUUUGAACACACCUACUCAUUCAAGGGUAAUUAGAUUUUUACGAUUUUCUACAUUGUAGAAUAAUAUAUGUAGACA